AAGGAUAAGGAACACGUUGGUUAAGUCUUAUUUAGUUUUGAGAGGUCUUGCAAGACGCAGAGACAAACUGUGGGGCCUUAGCUCAGCUGGGAGAGCGCCUGCUUUGCACGCAGGAGGUCAGCGGUUCGAUCCCGCUAGGCUCCAUAGGAUACAGUUCAACUGACCUUAAUAGAAGUGAAGUUUCAUUGUAUCUUAGUAUAGUCCAUUGAAAAUUGAAUAUCUAUAUCAAAUUCCACGAUCAUGAAAAUGAUUGUAGAAAAGUAACAAGAAAUAAACCGAAAAAAAGAUAAACGCGAACAUAUUAAAAAAAAUCAAGAAGGUCUAAGGACUGGAAAUAA
Molecule: transfer RNA, 338 nt
Filed under: Streptococcus uberis
Lineage: Bacteria; Bacillati; Bacillota; Bacilli; Lactobacillales; Streptococcaceae
Description: 16S-23S ribosomal RNA intergenic spacer
Rfam family: tRNA (bases 72-144)
Source: RNAcentral